AGUGAACGCUGGCGGUAGGCCUAACACAUGCAAGUCGAACGGCAGCACAGGAGAGCUUGCUCUCUGGGUGGCGAGUGGCGGACGGGUGAGGAAUACAUCGGAAUCUACUUUUUCGUGGGGGAUAACGUAGGGAAACUUACGCUAAUACCGCAUACGACCUACGGGUGAAAGCAGGGGACCUUCGGGCCUUGCGCGAUUGAAUGAGCCGGUGUCGGAUUAGCUAGUUGGCGGGUUAAAGGCCCACCAAGGCGACGAUCCGUAGCUGGUCUGAGAGGAUGAUCAGCCACACUGGAACUGGGACACAGUCCAGACUCCUACGGGAGGCAGCAGUGGGGAAUACUGGACAAUGGGCGCAAGCCUGAUCCAGCCAUACCGCGUGGGUGAAGAAGGCCUUCGGGUUGUAAAGCCCUUUUGUUGGGAAAGAAAUCCAGCUGGCUAAUACCCGGUUGGGAUGACGGUACCCAAAGAAUAAGCACCGGCUAACUUCGUGCCAGCCGCCGCCGUAA
This 506-nucleotide ribosomal RNA is filed under the name uncultured bacterium. Its description in RNAcentral is "partial 16S ribosomal RNA". It matches the Rfam family "Bacterial small subunit ribosomal RNA", at positions 29 to 523 of the family's 1533-position model. The record is from RNAcentral.